RNAcentral lists this transfer RNA (73 nucleotides) under Perkinsus olseni. It matches the Rfam family "tRNA". From Rfam's summary of the family: Transfer RNA (tRNA) molecules are approximately 80 nucleotides in length. Their secondary structure includes four short double-helical elements and three loops (D, anti-codon, and T loops). Further hydrogen bonds mediate the characteristic L-shaped molecular structure. tRNAs have two regions of fundamental functional importance: the anti-codon, which is responsible for specific mRNA codon recognition, and the 3' end, to which the tRNAs corresponding amino acid is attached (by aminoacyl-tRNA synthetases). tRNAs cope with the degeneracy of the genetic code in two manners: having more than one tRNA (with a specific anti-codon) for a particular amino acid; and 'wobble' base-pairing, i.e. permitting non-standard base-pairing at the 3rd anti-codon position. The record is from Rfam by way of RNAcentral. Lineage: Eukaryota; Perkinsozoa; Perkinsida; Perkinsidae.
GGUCCUGCAGCUCAGUGGUAAGAGCGAUGGUCUCUUGAGCCUUAGGUCGUGGGUUCAACUCCUGCCGGGAUUA